RNAcentral lists this ribosomal RNA (460 nucleotides) under uncultured bacterium. Its description in RNAcentral is "partial 16S ribosomal RNA". It matches the Rfam family "Bacterial small subunit ribosomal RNA", at positions 338 to 795 of the family's 1533-position model. The record is from RNAcentral.
CCUACGGGAGACAGCAGUGAGGAAUAUUGGUCAAUGGGCGGGAGCCUGAACCAGCCAAGUCGCGUGAGGGAAGACGGUCCUCUGGAUUGUAAACCUCUUUAGGCGGGGAGCAAUGCCGGGCACGUGUGCCCGGAGGGAGAGUACCCGCAGAAUAAGCAUCGGCUAACUCCGUGCCAGCAGCCGCGGUAAUACGGAGGAUGCGAGCGUUAUCCGGAUUUAUUGGGUUAAAAGGGUGCGUAGGCGGAUUUUAAAGUCAGCGGUAAAAUGUCCGGGCUAAAUCCCGACAAGCCGUUGAAACGGGCUUGCUAGAGUGGGCGAGAAGUAUGCGGAAUGCGUGGUGUAGCGGUGAAAUGCAUAGAGAUCACGCAGAACUCCGAUUGCGAAGGCAGCAUACCGGCGCCCAACUGACGCUCAGGCACGAAAGCGUGGGUAUCGAACAGGAUUAGAUACCCAAGUAGUC